UACGGAGGAUGCGAGCGUUAUCCGGAUUUAUUGGGUUUAAAGGGAGCGUAGAUGGGCGAUUAAGUCAGUUGUGAAAGUUUGCGGCUCAACCGUAAAAUUGCAAUUGAAACUGGUUGUCUUGAGUGCAGUUGAGGUAGGCGGAAUUCGUGGUGUAGCGGUGAAAUGCUUAGAUAUCACGAAGAACUCCGAUUGCGAAGGCAGCUUACUAAACUGUAACUGACAUUGAUGCUCGAAAGUGUGGGUAUCAAAC
This 250-nucleotide ribosomal RNA is filed under the name uncultured prokaryote. Its description in RNAcentral is "partial 16S ribosomal RNA". It matches the Rfam family "Bacterial small subunit ribosomal RNA", at positions 524 to 773 of the family's 1533-position model. The record is from RNAcentral.